AGAUACCUAAAGGGUAAAUGUCUAUGUCAAUAUAAAACCGACUAGAUAGAUAAUAAGGGAAUCUAAUUGAAUUAUGGUGUAGAAGACUUAACCAUUAAGUGAGUAAGGAUCCUAAAGUAAUUCAUGUGAUGCCCACCUCGCGAGAGCGGGUUUUUAUCAAUGCAUGGCGCCUUUGGGUUUUCU
Molecule: non-coding RNA, 183 nt
Filed under: Bacillota bacterium
Lineage: Bacteria; Bacillati; Bacillota
Description: 6S RNA
Rfam family: 6S / SsrS RNA
About the family: E. coli 6S RNA was the first non coding RNA to be sequenced, but its function was unknown until recently. It consists of 184 nucleotides that fold into an extended hairpin structure with a large single-stranded internal bulge.
Source: RNAcentral